This is an RNA transcript of Seriola aureovittata, 6165 nucleotides long. It is a transcript of the gene named trichohyalin-like, with no coding region annotated. The transcript has 19 exons. The record is from RefSeq and is a predicted model, not a curated record. Lineage: Eukaryota; Metazoa; Chordata; Actinopteri; Carangiformes; Carangidae.
UGACAUUAAAGGCAGGUACAUCAAGUUCACUAAAAUUACUGUGUAGUAAUCCUGUUAAGCAGUUGGCCUAAUCCCACAAAACUCUAAUGGAGUUUGUCAACUCUGUAUGGGAUUACGUGUGUGUGUGUGUGUGUGUGUGUGUGUGUGUGUGUGUGUGUGUGUGUGUGUGUGUGUGUGUGUGUUUCUUUGGGACACUGUUGUAUAGACCUGUUUGUGAUUUGUUCUCUCUGGUUUUUGCGAGACUAAGAGGGAGUGCACUUGCAGACGGAUCAAUAAUAAUAUCAGCCAUACAUUCACACUUCUAAUUCAGUGUAUUCUCAUUGUGCUGCUGAGAAUGAUGUCCAAGAAGCAAAGCAGGCAGAAUGAGACCCUGGUAAACACAAAGACCAACAUACCUGCACAGAAGAAAGGGGGGAAGGACCUGGCAGCACUCACAGUGCCUGUAUGUACUGGUGGUAAACAGGCGGGCAGCAGUGUGCCUAAGCCCAGUGGUAGGAGCAACAGCCUCAGUAGCAGAGGAAGUGACUCGACUGCUAGUGGCAGUAAAGUUGGUGGCAGUUUGAAAACAGGCAGCCUCAGCCACCGAGGCAGCCUUGGCCACCAGGGUACCAGACAAACAUCUCACCCAGGGAGACCAGCUUUCCGCCUCUGCAGCAGUCGGAGUUUCUCGUCCCUCAACACCUCCUCUUUCACUGCUGCUCCGUUCAUCAGGAGCAGCCGUUCUCUCAGCAGACUUGACCAAAGAUCUGUUGGACAAGAUUCAGAUCAGGCAGCUCCGAGCUCACAAGUUAAGAAAGGACAAACCUCAGAGAAGAAAGUCCUGGAUUCUAGAUGUCUGUCGUCCUCUGAGGAACAAAUCAGGGAUAACAAAGACCAGUGUCAUGGUGGUGAUGUGGACAAAAUGAAAACAAGCAGCUCCUCUGAGCCACCGGAGUCUUCCUCCUCUUUAGUUUCCACCAGUGCAUGUCUUCAUCACGGCAACAAAGUAAAGGAACAGACCAGAGAUGGUGUGCACACACUGUGUGCGAUGACCUCUGGGAUGAAACGCAACUGGGUCCAAGCAGUGUUGAAGAAUGUGAGACCCAGUCUUACACCUGAUGUCGGAAGCUCCCUUUCACAGCAGAAGGAAUCAGCAGAUUCAGAGUCGGCUGAGGUCGGUGACAGGGCAGAGGACUCACAUCAACAGCAGAGAGAACAUGAGUCGAGACCGCAGAUGGAAAAAGAGCAGAGAUCUGCUGAUGGAAACUCUGCUCUGUCUCCCAUCAGUCCUCUGCACCAGGUGGAGGAAGGCGACAGUGCUUCCUGUCAUCAGCGUCCGCUUCUUGUUGCAACCACACAAACUGGUGUGAUGAAUGCAUCAUCGUGUGCUGAAGGAGCUGGAAGUCACAGCUCUACCUCCACAGCGGUGCCGUCAAGUGAGGAACAUUCAAACAUGGGGAGUGAAAUCGAGCAGAAUUGUCAGGAACUUAAAACCACACCCCAGAGUGAGGAGCAGCAAGUAUCAAUAAACACCCGUGAGUGCACGAAAGACAAGGAAACACCGUUGUGUGAGCAGCAAACUGGACAACUUGUCAAAGAGCUGGAACAAACACAGAAGGAACUGUCUCGACUCCAGCAGCUAAACAGGAAUCUGCAGGAUGAACUACAACAUGAGAGAGAGAGUCAUUCAGGAGAAAGGGUUCGUCCACAGAAGGAUCGUCUUUCAAACUCUUCGGAUCAAGCUUUGGCUUUACAGCGACUGCAGAAGAUAAACCAUGACCUCCGCAUUGAGCUGGAGGCACAGAGGAGGAGUCAGGAGGAGGCCAGAGAAGCUGAACUACGACGAAGAGUAGAUCUCUUAGCACAGCAAGCUCAGUUACUGGUCACAGGCGAUGCCACAGCGCUCGCACAAGCUCAUCUGGAGCAAGACCGACGGCGGUUUCAUGAGCAGCAGAUGGAGUUGGAGCAUUGUGUGUCCUCCCUGAAGUCUCAGCUCAGCACCAGUGAGGAGCAGAGGAAGGAGGCUGAGUCCCGCUUGACGCAGCUGCAGCAGGAGUUGCAGAGUUAUCACAGUAUCCAGCAGGAGGCCGAUCGCUUGCAGAAACAUCUCCACGAGGUGAAAACUCAACUUUGUGCAAACGAGGACGCACAGGCCCAAAAAGAGGCUCGCCUGCAGAAACACCUCCUGCUCCUUCAAGCAAGUCAGGACAGAGAACGGAGGAGCUUGGCUGCCAGUCUGGCCCAGGCUGAGCAACGCUCACAAGACCUUCAGGAGAGACUGGACAGGGCUGAGCAGCAGGUAGAGAGCCUGAAUAAGACUCAGACCUGGUCCAGGGAAAUUGAAGAGGCUCAACAGCAGCUUCAAGAGGAGCUAGCACGAACAAUAUCUGCUGUAGAGAAACUUCAAGAAGAAAGAGAGCAGCUGGACCGCCGCUGUCAAGAGCUGCAGAACCAGUUAUCGGAGGCGGACGGCGAGGUGAGCAGGCUGCAGAGCCGCUUGAAAACAGAAGAGACACACUACUACAAUCUUGAGCACUCAUACGAGAGCGUUUGUGAGGAACUGCAGAUGGCUUUGGGGAAGGUGCAGCAAAAGGAGACUGAAACACAGGAGAUACGAGAAGGCUACGAGAGACUCCUCGACAGGAAGGAGCAAGAGCUGAGUGAAGUUUUGUUGAAGAUGGAGGUCUUGGGUAAUAGCUUGGAGGAGACGGAAGUGAAGCUGAAUGAAAUGCUGAAAGUUUGCAACUGUGCCUCUUCUCAGCUGAGGGUUGAGUCAUCAGAGCCCGCUCAGCAUAAUGACAGACAACAGCAGACAACUGAGCCUUUCACCGUAAACGACAGCAGUUCAAAGGCAAGAGACAGUGGCCAGUUGUCCAACAGCCCAAAUACCAUAGAUGCUGUCGAGGUAAAUGGCAACCACCCUCAUGAACAUGCAAGGAACAGGUCUCGCUCGAUUGACCUGUCGUACCAGUACAUUGUCACUGCGGGAGACGAUCCAGAAAGGUUUAUGUCUGUGAUCCAGUUACUUGAGACUAAGCUUUACGUGACAGAGGAGAAGCUAAGAGACAUCACGCAAAGACUGGAGGAACACGAGAGCCACAUUAGCUGCCAGGACCCCCACCUUUGCUCCCAGCUGACUCAGAGCCGAGCCACCACCCAGCACCUCAGUCUGCUGCUUCACAGUCAGGCCAAGCAGAGCCAGCGCUUCGCCCAGGAGACAGAGAGCCGCUGCAGGAUGUUGGCUGGCAGGUUCCAGGUUGCUCUGAACAUCAUACAAGCCUGCAGGGAGAGGCUUCAAGCCACUCCCGUUAAUAUCGCACACUUUGAGAAGCAACUUGCCAGCGUUGCCGCCUGUCUUCAGCAAGGACAGAGAGGUGCAGAGAAGCAACAGCAUGAAGCACAUAAUGCCAGCAAAGGAGAGGACAAAAUCCUCAAUGACGAGCCAUUAGCUGGAGCUGAUAGCAGCGUUUGUGCUAAAAGUAAACUCACUAAUACGUUACCCUCAGAGGAUGACAUGGCAAGUGUAAGGAUGUGUUUAAUGAGGGAACUUUUUGUAGUAGAAAAAAUGCUCUCCGUCCUUCAGAGUCAACGCGGCAUUGGCCAACUCUCCCUAGUACCAAGAGAAGAUGAAGGGGAUGUUGCACACAGGUACAAAAGCAUAAUCUCCCAAAGAAUAGCCUUAAAAACAGAGAGAAGGACUCUGUGUGGGAAAGCAGAAUGUGACAGUGAUGCACCUUUGGAAGGCGCCAUCGGUAGAGUCUGCGCUGAAGCUGAGCUCAUUUACGCUGCCUUAAAAUUUCAGCAGCAAUAUGAAGAGGAGCAGAAAAAGAAGGGUCUGGCAGAUAUCAAUCCCCCAGAGUUGGCUCCUUAUGAGGAGCAAGUGAAGGCAGAGGGCAGAGGUGUAGAUGAAGCCACAAAACCCGUUGAAGAAGACGAGACUGAUGACAACAAGAUGGAGGCCGAGAAAGAACCGGAAUGGUUAGAAAGACUUAUAUCUCGGCUGCAAAGAAGGGUCAAGUUCUUAAACCAGCUCUGCCAGGAGAUCUCUGAUGGACCAGUCAGUGAGUGCAGUGUGGACUGUAGCAGGGAAAAUAAUUCAGCAGUAGACAUGAAGUGGAUGCAGGAGCAGGCAAAGUUGAUUUAUUUGUCAAACAGGUUGCACUUGGAUUUAGAGCAGGAGUUGCAGCAAAGCGAGAUGUUACAGAACAAACUACAGGCUUUGUGCAAAGAACAAGAAAUCAAUUUAAUGGAUGAGCAGGAGGUCUUUAAUCACACCUUAUGUCAGCUUCAGGAGGACAACAGCGUGUUAAGACAAGAACUAGAGCGUGCUGAGCAAAAGAUAAUAUCUGCAGACGCUGAGAACCAGAGGCUCCUGGAAGACAUACAGAAAAUUGAGGAUUAUCAUGAGGAACGGAGGCAAAAACUAGAGACAAAGUUUCAAGAGAAGAUAAGAGAACUACAGCAGAUCCAUGAAGGGGAGAUGAAACACUUGCAUGGUUACUACACCAAAGAGAAACAGACCAAAACCUGCACAGAGGCACCUGCUUCCACUGACAGUACGUCCUCCACCGCACGAGACCAGGCUGUGGUGGAGAGAAGUGGUGAUGAAGCGGCAGUGAGGGAGGCUUACCACAACGAUCGUGAAAAAUUCGAGGAUCAUGGUUUCAGUGCUAUGGAGGACAUGCACAGGAAGCUGAUAGGAGAUCUACAGCAGCAGCAUCAGACGGAGGUGGCCGCACUUCUGAAGGAGAAAGACCAGCUGCUGCAGAAAGAGACGGCCGCCACAGUAGCAGCAAUUGUAGCAAUGAGGAGAACCCACAGACAGGAGCUGGAGAAAAGCAGACAGUCUCAGCACAUCAGGGAGGGUGCUGACAUCACACAACUGCACAUGGAGUAUGAGAAGGAGAUCCAGUUAUUGCACAAGGAGCUGGAGGUGCUGUCGGUUCAGCACACUCAGAAAUGCCUGGAAAACUCUCAUCUGAGCCAGGAGCUGCAGGAUGAAAGGACAUCUUUGAUGCAGUACCAAAAAGAAAACCAGGAGCUGAAAAAGACGCAGAGAGAGACAGAUGAAAUGUCUCAGCUACACUUCUCGCUAAACGGGAACCAGUCACAUGUGGCUGCACAAACAAAUGACUUCUAUGAGAUGGAAGUGAUUCUGAGGGCGAGGGAGGCAGAAAUGCAGUUUCUCAGACAGGAGGCUCGUUCCCUCAGGGAGGAGUUGAAGAUUGCUCGAAUGGACAAAAUAUAUGCCCAGAACAAGCUGAAGACCCUCUAUAAGAACAGCCACGAUGAAUCCCAUCAUGAUGUCAACAAAAUCAGUGAAGGUUUCAAGUCCGCCACUUGGUCUCCAGGCAGAGAUGCUUCAGGACAGAACCUCAUUAACAAGAAGCCACAGCCAGCAGCCGAUAAGGAUAGGCGACUCCAUGACAAACACGAGUAGUGCUGCUUUUCUGAAGAAAACAGAGAAAUCCUCCCUCACGCGUCAGAUCAGAGGCGUGAGAUCAAAGAGUUUGAAAGAAGGCCUUUCUGUCCAAGAAAGAAUGAAGUUGUUUGAGUCUUUCUGAUCCGAAGAAGAUGUGACACAGUGACACUGCUGCUUGGUCAGUGCACUUUAAAGACAGAACUCUUUUUACUGUAUAAAAAGGUGUGUGUGUGUGUGUGUGUGUGUGUGUGUGUUAGAGAGAGAGAGAGAGAGAGAGAGAGAGAGAGAGAGAGAAGCAGCAUCAGGACACCACUAGAGGGAGCAACAAACACUGGCUUUUUUAGAUGAACAUUUCUAAAGGUUUGUCACUCUGCAACGUAACAGAGUCAUCACAACAAAAUUAUAUUCAUAUGUUCACAGUGCAUUGCACAGUGUAUAUAUAUAUAUAUACACACACACACUGCCUGUGUUUUCAUUAAAAGAUAACUCAUUGUGUUGCAUCAGUUGUAUAUUAACAUGUUGUACCACUAGAUGUAGCAAAAAACAUUUACUCUCGUUUCUGUUGCUGCAAACAAAAGCCCUCAUGGAGAUGUUUUAUGACCAAAAUAUAAAAUAAGGACUUUUAUUAAAAGAGUUUUAGGAAGGUUACUAAUUUUUUUUUUUUUAACAGUAAAUUAAAAAUAUUAGUCAUAAUGUAUGUAGGUUUUGUAUUCUGGCAUCUUUCAGUCAUGUAAACAGACAAUAAAGUAUUUGCAUAUUUGUAA